AGAGUUUGAUCCUGGCUCAGACGAACGCUGGCGGCGUGCUUAACACAUGCAAGUUGAACGAGAAGUUUCUAACUGAUUUUUUCGGAAUGAUUUUGGAAAUGGACAGUAGCGAACGGGUGAGUAACGCGUGGGUAACCUACCUUGAACAGGGGGACAACACCGGGAAACUGGUGCUAAUACCGCAUAGUUGAUACCAUGGCAUCAUGGAAUCAGAAAAGGAGUAAUCCGGUUUAAGAUGGACCCGCGUCCAAUUAGCUUGUUGGUGAGGUAACGGCUCACCAAGGCGACGAUGGGUAGCCGACCUGAGAGGGUGACCGGCCACACUGGGACUGAGACACUGCCCAGACUCCUACGGGAGGCUGCAGUCGAGAAUCGUUCGCAAUAGGCGAAAGCCUGACGACGCAAUGCCGCGUGUAUGAAGAAGGCCCUCGGGUUGUAAAAUACUUUGAGCAGGGAAGAAAGCUUACAUGUUAAUAGCAAGUAAGUUUGACGGUACCUGCAGAACAAGCCCCGGCUAAAUUCGUGCCAGCAGCCGCGGUAAUACGAAUGGGGCAAGCGUUGUUCGGAUUAACUGGGCGUAAAGGGGGUCUAGGUUGUUUACUAAGUUUCCUGUGAAAACCCGGAGCUCAACUCCGUGGAUUGCAGGGAAAACUAUUAAACUAGAGUGUGCGAGAUGCGUGCGGAAUACUGGGUGUAGCGGUGAAAUGCGUAGAUAUCCAGUAGAACACCAGCGGCGAAAGCGGCCCGCAUGCGCACUACUGACACUGAAGCCCGAAAGCGUGGGGAGCGAACAGGAUUAGAUACCCUGGUAGUCCACGCCGGUAAACGAUGUGCACUAGAUGUGGGGUGGUAUCGACCCUACCCGUGUCGUAGCUAACGCGUUAAGUGCACCGCCUGGGGACUACGGCCGCAAGGCUAAAACUCAAAGGAAUUGACGGGGGCCCGCACAAGCGGU
Molecule: ribosomal RNA, 955 nt
Filed under: uncultured Bacillus sp.
Lineage: Bacteria; Bacillati; Bacillota; Bacilli; Caryophanales; Bacillaceae
Description: bacterial SSU rRNA
Rfam family: Bacterial small subunit ribosomal RNA
Source: RNAcentral